CCCUAGCCCCGAUAGAAAUGGAAAUCCUUUUGCUUUUUUCUUUAUAAAGCAAAAGAUUGAAACAUCCCGAGGCUUCGG
Molecule: small RNA, 78 nt
Filed under: Flavobacterium sp. 2
Lineage: Bacteria; Pseudomonadati; Bacteroidota; Flavobacteriia; Flavobacteriales; Flavobacteriaceae
Description: Flavo-1 RNA
Source: RNAcentral